CAAGAAUAUCGCAGGGAAAAGGAUGACGAGUUCUGUUGUGGGAAUUUAACAUUAUUCCAUUACCAACUUCUGUAACAAUCCGACCACGCAAGCUCGAUAUUUCAGAGGAUAUACUGAAUGACCUACCCCCGGUGAAUUUAGAUGAGCCAUCGUUAUGCAAUUGCAUUAAGCAGCCAUUAUAUCCUAUGUGUUUGAUUAAAAUUUAUGGUGAAGAGAUGCCUGGUCAUGUUGAAAGUAUGGGUGCAGAAGGAGGAGUUGUCAUUAUGUUUGUUAACUCGAAGAAAUAGAUGUAUUCUUAUCUACACUGCAAAAAAAUGCCCAGCCUGUAACAAUGUUGUUGAACACAGGCCUGAACAAUAUUUUGUUGCCCAUAUUGUUCCCGCUUGUUACAAAAAUUGUUCAGCUUUGUUCUGGCUGAACAAUAUUCUUAACCGGGGACAAAAUGGGCAGCAAAAUAUUGUCCAGGCC
Non-coding RNA from Paramuricea clavata, 468 nucleotides. The record is from the annotation of a GenBank genome assembly. Lineage: Eukaryota; Metazoa; Cnidaria; Anthozoa; Malacalcyonacea; Plexauridae.